This 851-nucleotide ribosomal RNA is filed under the name uncultured bacterium. RNAcentral's name for it is "bacterial SSU rRNA". It matches the Rfam family "Bacterial small subunit ribosomal RNA", at positions 8 to 906 of the family's 1533-position model. The record is from RNAcentral.
AGAGUUUGAUCCUGGCUCAGAACGAACGCUGGCGGCAUGCUUAACACAUGCAAGUCGAACGAACUAUUUAUAGUUAGUGGCAGACGGGUGAGGAACGCGUGGGAACGUACCCCAAAGUUCGGAAUAACUAUUGGAAACGAUAGCUAAUACCGGAUGUGACCGAGAGGUUAAAGGUUUACCGCUUUGGGAGCGGCCCGCGUUAGAUUAGCUAGUUGGUGGGGUAAAGGCCUACCAAGGCAAUGAUCUAUAGCUGGUCUGAGAGGAUGACCAGCCACACUGGGACUGAGACACGGCCCAGACUCCUACGGGAGGCAGCAGUGGGGAAUAUUGGACAAUGGGGGCAACCCUGAUCCAGCAAUGCCGCGUGAAUGAUGAAGGCCUUAGGGUUGUAAAGUUCUUUUAUUGAUGACGAUAAUGACGGUAAUCAAUGAAUAAGCACCGGCUAACUUCGUGCCAGCAGCCGCGGUAAUACGAAGGGUGCUAGCGUUGUUCGGAAUGACUGGGCGUAAAGGGUGCGUAGGCGGCCAGAAGCGUCUGAUGUGAAAUCCCUGGGCUUAACCUAGGAACUGCAUUGGAUACGGUCUGGCUAGAGUCCGCGAGAGGAAGAUGGAAUUGUGCGUGUAGAGGUGAAAUUCGUAGAUAUGCACAAGAACACCGGUGGCGAAGGCGAUCUUCUGGAGCGGUACUGACGCUAAGGCACGGAAGUGUGGGGAGCAAACAGGAUUAGAUACCCUGGUAGUCCACACUGUAAACGAUGAAUGUUAGAUGUCGGGGAGGUUACUCUUCGGUAUCGCAGCUAACGCAUUAAACAUUCCGCCUGGGGAGUACGGUCGCAAGAUUAAAACUCAAAG